GUGGGGAAUAUUGGACAAUGGGCGAAAGCCUGAUCCAGCCAUGCCGCGUGUGUGAAGAAGGUCUUCGGAUUGUAAAGCACUUUAAGUUGGGAGGAAGGGCAUUAACCUAAUACGUUAGUGUUUUGACGUUACCGACAGAAUAAGCACCGGCUAACUUCGUGCCAGCAGCCGCGGUAAUACGAAGGGUGCAAGCGUUAAUCGGAAUUACUGGGCGUAAAGCGCGCGUAGGUGGUUCGUUAAGUUGGAUGUGAAAGCCCCGGGCUCAACCUGGGAACUGCAUCCAAAACUACUGAGCUAGAGUACGGUAGAGGGUAGUGGAAUUUCCUGUGUAGCGGUGAAAUGCGUAGAUAUAGGAAGGAACACCAGUGGCGAAGGCGACUACCUGGACUGAUACUGACACUGAGGUGCGAAAGCGUGGGGAGCAAACAGGAUUAGAUACCCCAGUAGUCC
This 450-nucleotide ribosomal RNA is filed under the name uncultured bacterium. RNAcentral describes it as "partial 16S ribosomal RNA". It matches the Rfam family "Bacterial small subunit ribosomal RNA", at positions 354 to 796 of the family's 1533-position model. The record is from RNAcentral.